RNAcentral lists this ribosomal RNA (1516 nucleotides) under metagenome. RNAcentral's name for it is "bacterial LSU rRNA". It matches the Rfam family "Bacterial large subunit ribosomal RNA", at positions 1407 to 2925 of the family's 2925-position model. The record is from RNAcentral.
CUGCGUAGCUGAUGGGAAGCAGGUCAAUAUUCCUGCACCAGUGUGAAAUGCGAUGGGGGGACGGAUCGCGGAAGGUUGUCCGGGUGUUGGAAGUCCCGGUCGCUGCGUUGGAGAAGGUGCUCUGGCAAAUCCGGGCACGGAAUUCAAGGGCGUGGCGCGAGCUCCUUCGGGAGCGAAGCAAUCGGAAGGGGUUCCAGGAAAAGCCUCUAAGCUUCAGUUUCACAUUGACCGUACCGCAAACCGACACAGGUGGGCGAGAUGAGUAUUCUAAGGCGCUUGAGAGAACUCGGGAGAAGGAACUCGGCAAAUUGGUACCGUAACUUCGGGAUAAGGUACGCCCCUGUAGCUUGAUGCCCCUGCGGGCAAAGGGUGAAGGGGUUGCAAUAAACUGGUGGCUGCGACUGUUUAAUAAAAACACAGCACUCUGCAAACACGAAAGUGGACGUAUAGGGUGUGACGCCUGCCCGGUGCCGGAAGAUUAAAUGAUGGGGUGCAAGCUCUUGAUUGAAGUCCCGGUAAACGGCGGCCGUAACAAUAACGGUCCUAAGGUAGCGAAAUUCCUUGUCGGGUAAGUUCCGACCUGCACGAAUGGCGUAACGAUGGCCACACUGUCUCCUCCCGAGACUCAGCGAAGUUGAAGUGUUUGUGAUGAUGCAAUCUCCCCGCGGCUAGACGGAAAGACCCCAUGAACCUUUACUGUAGCUUUGCAUUGGACUUUGAACCGAUCUGUGUAGGAUAGGUGGGAGGCUAUGAAGCUGGGACGCUAGUCUCAGUGGAGCCGUCCUUGAAAUACCACCCUGGUUUGUUUGAGGUUCUAACCUUGGCCCGUGAUCCGGGUCGGGGACAGUGCAUGGUGGGCAGUUUGACUGGGGCGGUCUCCUCCCAAAGUGUAACGGAGGAGUACGAAGGUACGCUAGGUACGGUCGGAAAUCGUGCUGAUAGUGCAAUGGCAUAAGCGUGCUUAACUGCGAGACCGACAAGUCGAGCAGGUGCGAAAGCAGGUCAUAGUGAUCCGGUGGUUCUGUAUGGAAGGGCCAUCGCUCAACGGAUAAAAGGUACUCUGGGGAUAACAGGCUGAUACCGCCCAAGAGUUCAUAUCGACGGCGGUGUUUGGCACCUCGAUGUCGGCUCAUCUCAUCCUGGGGCUGUAGCCGGUCCCAAGGGUAUGGCUGUUCGCCAUUUAAAGAGGUACGUGAGCUGGGUUUAAAACGUCGUGAGACAGUUUGGUCCCUAUCUGCCGUGGGCGCUGGAUAUUUGAAGGGGGCUGCUCCUAGUACGAGAGGACCGGAGUGGACGAACCUCUGGUGUACCGGUUGUCACGCCAGUGGCAUCGCCGGGUAGCUAUGUUCGGAAGAGAUAACCGCUGAAAGCAUCUAAGCGGGAAACUCGCCUUGAGAUGAGAUAUCCCCGGGGCUUCGAGCCCCUUGAAGGGUCGUUCAAGACCAGGACGUUGAUAGGUCAGGUGUGGAAGCGCAGUAAUGCGUUAAGCUAACUGAUACUAAUUGCCCGUAAGGCC